Molecule: ribosomal RNA, 468 nt
Filed under: uncultured bacterium
Lineage: Bacteria
Description: partial 16S ribosomal RNA
Rfam family: Bacterial small subunit ribosomal RNA
Source: RNAcentral
GACGAACGCUGGCGGCGUGCUUAACACAUGCAAGUCGAACGGAAAGGCCCUGCUUUUGUGGGGUGCUCGAGUGGCGAACGGGUGAGUAACACGUGAGUAACCUGCCCUUGACUUUGGGAUAACUUCAGGAAACUGGGGCUAAUACCGGAUAGGAGCUCCUGCUGCAUGGUGGGGGUUGGAAAGUUUCGGCGGUUGGGGAUGGACUCGCGGCUUAUCAGCUUGUUGGUGGGGUAGUGGCUUACCAAGGCUUUGACGGGUAGCCGGCCUGAGAGGGUGACCGGCCACAAUGGGACUGAGGUACGGCCCAGAAGACUACGGGAGGCAGCAGGGGGGAAUAUUGCACAAUGGGCGGAAGCCUGAUGCAGCAACGCCGCGUGCGGGAAGACGGCCUUAGGGUUGUAAACCGCUUUCGACGGUGACGAAGAGGGAGUGACGGUAAUGGGUAAAGAAGCAACGGCUAACUACGUG